RNAcentral lists this ribosomal RNA (392 nucleotides) under uncultured bacterium. RNAcentral describes it as "bacterial SSU rRNA". It matches the Rfam family "Bacterial small subunit ribosomal RNA", at positions 28 to 421 of the family's 1533-position model. The record is from RNAcentral.
GACGAACGCUGGCGGCGUGCUUAACACAUGCAAGUCGAGCGGUAAGGCCCUUUCGGGGGUACGACGAGCGGCGAACGGGUGAGUAACACGUGGGUGACCUGCCCUCAGCUCUGGGAUAAGCCUGGGAAACCGGGUCUAAUACUGGAUAUGACUCCAUGGCGCAUGUUGUGGGGUGGAAAGCCUUGUGCGGCUGAGGAUGGGCCCGCGGCCUAUCAGCUUGUUGGUGGGGUGAGGCCUACCAAGGCGACGACGGGUAGCCGGCCUGAGAGGGCGACCGGCCACACUGGGACUGAGACACGGCCCAGACUCCUACGGGAGGCAGCAGUGGGGAAUCUUGCGCAAUGGGCGAAAGCCUGACGCAGCGACGCCGCGUGAGGGAUGACGGCCUUCGG